UUAAGUUAUUAAGGGCGCACGGUGGAUGCCUUGGCACUAGAAGCCGAUGAAGGACGUUACUAACGACGAUAUGCUUUGGGGAGCUGUAAGUAAGCUUUGAUCCAGAGAUUUCCGAAUGGGGAAACCCAGCAUGAGUUAUGUCAUGUUAUCGAUAUGUGAAUACAUAGCAUAUCAGAAGGCACACCCGGAGAACUGAAACAUCUUAGUACCCGGAGGAAGAGAAAGAAAAUUCGAUUCCCUUAGUAGCGGCGAGCGAAACGGGAAGAGCCCAAACCAACAAGCUUGCUUGUUGGGGUUGUAGGACACUCUAUACGGAGUUACAAAGGACGACAUUAGACGAAUCAUCUGGAAAGAUGAAUCAAAGAAGGUAAUAAUCCUGUAGUCGAAAAUGUUGUCUCUCUUGAGUGGAUCCUGAGUACGACGGAGCACGUGAAAUUCCGUCGGAAUCUGGGAGGACCAUCUCCUAAGGCUAAAUACUCUCUAGUGACCGAUAGUGAACCAGUACCGUGAGGGAAAGGUGAAAAGCACCCCGGAAGGGGAGUGAAAUAGAACCUGAAACCGUGUGCUUACAAGUAGUCAGAGCCCGUUAAUGGGUGAUGGCGUGCCUUUUGUAGAAUGAACCGGCGAGUUACGAUUUGAUGCAAGGUUAAGCAGUAAAUGUGGAGCCGUAGCGAAAGCGAGUCUGAAUAGGGCGUUUAGUAUUUGGUCGUAGACCCGAAACCAGGUGAUCUACCCUUGGUCAGGUUGAAGUUCAGGUAACACUGAAUGGAGGACCGAACCGACUUACGUUGAAAAGUGAGCGGAUGAACUGAGGGUAGCGGAGAAAUUCCAAUCGAACCUGGAGAUAGCUGGUUCUCUCCGAAAUAGCUUUAGGGCUAGCCUCAAGUGAUGAUUAUUGGAGGUAGAGCACUGUUUGGACGAGGGGCCCCUCUCGGGUUACCGAAUUCAGACAAACUCCGAAUGCCAAUUAAUUUAACUUGGGAGUCAGAACAUGGGUGAUAAGGUCCGUGUUCGAAAGGGAAACAGCCCAGACCACCAGCUAAGGUCCCAAAAUAUAUGUUAAGUGGAAAAGGAUGUGGCGUUGCCCAGACAACUAGGAUGUUGGCUUAGAAGCAGCCAUCAUUUAAAGAGUGCGUAAUAGCUCACUAGUCGAGUGACACUGCGCCGAAAAUGUACCGGGGCUAAACAUAUUACCGAAGCUGUGGAUUGUCCUUUGGACAAUGGUAGGAGAGCGUUCUAAGGGCGUUGAAGCAUGAUCGUAAGGACAUGUGGAGCGCUUAGAAGUGAGAAUGCCGGUGUGAGUAGCGAAAGACGGGUGAGAAUCCCGUCCACCGAUUGACUAAGGUUUCCAGAGGAAGGCUCGUCCGCUCUGGGUUAGUCGGGUCCUAAGCUGAGGCCGACAGGCGUAGGCGAUGGAUAACAGGUUGAUAUUCCUGUACCACCUAUAAUCGUUUUAAUCGAUGGGGGGACGCAGUAGGAUAGGCGAAGCGUGCGAUUGGAUUGCACGUCUAAGCAGUAAGGCUGAGUAUUAGGCAAAUCCGGUACUCGUUAAGGCUGAGCUGUGAUGGGGAGAAGACAUUGUGUCUUCGAGUCGUUGAUUUCACACUGCCGAGAAAAGCCUCUAGAUAGAAAAUAGGUGCCCGUACCGCAAACCGACACAGGUAGUCAAGAUGAGAAUUCUAAGGUGAGCGAGCGAACUCUCGUUAAGGAACUCGGCAAAAUGACCCCGUAACUUCGGGAGAAGGGGUGCUCUUUAGGGUUAACGCCCAGAAGAGCCGCAGUGAAUAGGCCCAAGCGACUGUUUAUCAAAAACACAGGUCUCUGCUAAACCGUAAGGUGAUGUAUAGGGGCUGACGCCUGCCCGGUGCUGGAAGGUUAAGAGGAGUGGUUAGCUUCUGCGAAGCUACGAAUCGAAGCCCCAGUAAACGGCGGCCGUAACUAUAACGGUCCUAAGGUAGCGAAAUUCCUUGUCGGGUAAGUUCCGACCCGCACGAAAGGCGUAACGAUUUGGGCACUGUCUCAACGAGAGACUCGGUGAAAUCAUAGUACCUGUGAAGAUGCAGGUUACCCGCGACAGGACGGAAAGACCCCGUGGAGCUUUACUGUAGCCUGAUAUUGAAAUUCGGCACAGCUUGUACAGGAUAGGUAGGAGCCUUUGAAACGUGAGCGCUAGCUUACGUGGAGGCGCUGGUGGGAUACUACCCUAGCUGUGUUGGCUUUCUAACCCGCACCACUUAUCGUGGUGGGAGACAGUGUCAGGCGGGCAGUUUGACUGGGGCGGUCGCCUCCUAAAAGGUAACGGAGGCGCUCAAAGGUUCCCUCAGAAUGGUUGGAAAUCAUUCAUAGAGUGUAAAGGCAUAAGGGAGCUUGACUGCGAGACCUACAAGUCGAGCAGGGUCGAAAGACGGACUUAGUGAUCCGGUGGUUCCGCAUGGAAGGGCCAUCGCUCAACGGAUAAAAGCUACCCCGGGGAUAACAGGCUUAUCUCCCCCAAGAGUUCACAUCGACGGGGAGGUUUGGCACCUCGAUGUCGGCUCAUCGCAUCCUGGGGCUGUAGUCGGUCCCAAGGGUUGGGCUGUUCGCCCAUUAAAGCGGUACGCGAGCUGGGUUCAGAACGUCGUGAGACAGUUCGGUCCCUAUCCGUCGUGGGCGUAGGAAAUUUGAGAGGAGCUGUCCUUAGUACGAGAGGACCGGGAUGGACAUACCUCUGGUGUACCAGUUGUCGUGCCAACGGCAUAGCUGGGUAGCUAUGUGUGGACGGGAUAAGUGCUGAAAGCAUCUAAGCAUGAAGCCCCCCUCAAGAUGAGAUUUCCCAACUUCGGUUAUAAGAUCCCU
This 2835-nucleotide ribosomal RNA is filed under the name Staphylococcus aureus. Its description in RNAcentral is "bacterial LSU rRNA". It matches the Rfam family "Bacterial large subunit ribosomal RNA". RNAcentral also lists the same sequence under 1 other name. The record is from RNAcentral. Lineage: Bacteria; Bacillati; Bacillota; Bacilli; Caryophanales; Staphylococcaceae.